Long non-coding RNA from Scatophagus argus, 250 nucleotides. RefSeq lists it as uncharacterized. NCBI's taxonomy places the organism in Eukaryota, Metazoa, Chordata, Actinopteri, Scatophagidae. The record is from RefSeq and is a predicted model, not a curated record. The transcript is spliced from 3 exons.
CUUUGUCUGUAUAUACCUAUGCCCUCAUUGUUUUGUUGUCAGUUUACCUGUGUCUUUGGAUUAUUCCUUGUUUGGACAAUUUCCAUCUGGACUGCAGCUGAUUUUAGUUCACCUUCUUCAGUUCCUUUUUGAAUGCUGAGAAGAGAAGCACUAACGUGAGGUUUCAGCACCGUGUCCCUAACAUCCUCCUUCACUCACACACAGAUCAGGACUGGAUACGAGGAAACAGCUGGCCUGGCUCUGUGCAAAG